Cheilinus undulatus (humphead wrasse) is the source of this 249-nucleotide long non-coding RNA. RefSeq lists it as uncharacterized. The transcript is spliced from 3 exons. The record is from RefSeq and is a predicted model, not a curated record. Lineage: Eukaryota; Metazoa; Chordata; Actinopteri; Labriformes; Labridae.
AAACAAGCCCGAAUAUGGCAACAAAAACGAGCCCAUGCAGAAAAGCUGAUAAAAGAACUAGAAGGUAAAAAAAUAAUUUCCCAUAAAUGUUUAAUAAGAUAACAUUGAAAUAAUGAACGUAGUUAUUAAAUGUGGAUUAUUCAUUUUGUUAACAUGCCUGUUUUUUGUUUUUUUUUUUCUAAUUCCAGCAGAAAUUCUAGUGUCACUUUGUUGUUUCUUAUAGUUUUGUAGUAGUUUUGCUUGACCAGA